CCUACGGGAGGCAGCAGUGGGGAAUAUUGCACAAUGGGGGGAACCCUGAUGCAGCAACGCCGCGUGGGUGAAGAAGUACUUCGGUAUGUAAAGCCCUGUCAGCAGGGAAGAAAAUGACGGUACCUGACCAAGAAGCCCCGGCUAACUACGUGCCAGCAGGCGCGGUAAUACGUAGGGGGCAAGCGUUAUCCGGAUUUACUGGGUGUAAAGGGAGCGUAGACGGGGAUGCAAGUCUGAAGUGAAAGGCGGGGGCCCAACCCCCGUACUGCCUUGGAAACUGUAUGGCUGGAGUGCGGGAGAGGUAAGUGGAAUUCCUAGUGUAGCGGUGAAAUGCGUAGAUAUUAGGAGGAACACCGGUGGCGAAGGCGGCUUACUGGACUGUAACUGACGUUGAGGCUCGAAAGCGUGGGGAGCAAACAGGAUUAGAUACCCCAGUAGUC
Molecule: ribosomal RNA, 440 nt
Filed under: uncultured bacterium
Lineage: Bacteria
Description: partial 16S ribosomal RNA
Rfam family: Bacterial small subunit ribosomal RNA
Source: RNAcentral